GACCUGAGGCUCCCCUAACUGUCACCAGGAAAUCCUCUCCUGCUGUCCACUCUUCUUGGAGGGUGGGGUUCAGACACAGCUGGCCCCAGACCCUUGGGCUGCCAGCCCCUGGGGCUGGGCAGAGGCUUUGGGGCCCCUGGAGACCCUGAGCUGCUGCUGACCAAGGACCU
Molecule: small RNA, 170 nt
Filed under: Pongo abelii (Sumatran orangutan)
Lineage: Eukaryota; Metazoa; Chordata; Mammalia; Primates; Hominidae
Description: processed transcript
Source: RNAcentral